GGGAGUUUGGAUCUGCACAGGACUCAAAAAUGCAGGGAUCAGAUCACACCCAGGACUUCAGGAGAGCUGCAAAUUUCAUAGUAUUAUCUGUGUGGAUGCUCUGCAUGGCUGAUAACUAUAAUGCAUAUGGAUAUAUGCAGCACUUUCUGCCAAAGGAUCUCCAAACCCUUUAUACUGGGGAACUAACCCUCACAACUCUGCGGCUAGAAAGGAGACCUCUGCCGCCCUUCAGCCCCAAGCUCUUUGGCUACAAGGCUGAGGCCGAGAGCUGCAGACACUUCUGUCCUGACACGGGAAAACAGCCGCAUUCACCAGCUCUCAGGGAGCCCUGGCCAUGA
This 338-nucleotide long non-coding RNA is filed under the name Chrysemys picta bellii (western painted turtle). RNAcentral's name for it is "lncRNA (ENSCPBG00000004632.1)". Lineage: Eukaryota; Metazoa; Chordata; Testudines; Emydidae. The record is from RNAcentral.